CCUCCCCGCCAAUAAGAGCGAGGGAGAGAGAAAGCGAAGGACAGAGAGAGACACCGGCUCCUGUUCGCUAGACUAGGAGAGGUGCUCCUUUGGCGCGCGGCGCGUGUGUGUGGGUGGGUGUGCGUGUGUGUAUGUAUGCAUGUGUGUGCGUGCGUGUGUAUAUUCCCCCCGACUGAAACUGUAAAGUUCACACCAGACGUGUUGCUCUCUCCGGUUGCCGGGGCUGCAGCUGAGGCCGCCCCAACUUCACUUAUCCAAGUGACUGUGUGCUUUGCCCGGAGUCUCCCGUGGUGUUGCUGCUGCUGCUGCUGCUGCUGCUGCUGCGGCGGCGGCUGCUGAUGCUGCUGCCCGCCCCUCCGGCCGGCAGUGGCAGAGGCGGCGUAGACCGCCGCCUCCUCCUCCCAGCACACCUUGGAGCGCGAGGAAGACUGGCUUGCAAGGGGGACCCCUUGCCAACCCCACCACUUGCACUUGCACCUGCACCUAACGACCACCUUUCAGGCACUUCCUCCCGGGCGGUGCCUGGACACGGCAGAAAGAACUGUAUGCAGUGAGAGCAGAUUGUGGAGAGAGAAAGAAUAAUUGAACAAUUACCCUCUGAAUUUUCUUCGGACGUGUAGAAUAUUCCUGCUGAAACACUAAGGCAACUUGGAGAAGCAGCUCACUGCUAAUUGCUGCUAGAAGUGUGACAUUCUUUCCCAAGGUAAGCACAUUUUGAGGUAAAUUAUAUUGAAAAUUAUCAUGGUUUUUGAUUCAUUGUUUUGAAAAGACUAUUUUAUGUUAAAGCCAAAGAGACUGCCAGUGCUGUUGUUCAAAACUGAGGAUAUGUCACAUUAAUUACUUUGAGUUCUAGCUAAAUGUUCAUGGAGCUGACAUUAAAACAUAUAGGACAAACUGGCACAUUUUUCUUUUGACUGAGAAUAACUAAUUAAUUUGGUGUUUUCAGAACUACCUGAUGAACAAAGUUAAAAAAAAAAAAUAAAGAAUGCAAUGCCGUCUGAUAAUAAUGCUGGUGAUUCAGGAUAAAACAUAU
Molecule: long non-coding RNA, 1033 nt
Organism: Sarcophilus harrisii (Tasmanian devil)
Lineage: Eukaryota; Metazoa; Chordata; Mammalia; Dasyuromorphia; Dasyuridae
Exons: 3
Source: RefSeq, a predicted model, not a curated record